UACGUAGGGUGCAAGCGUUGUCCGGAAUUAUUGGGCGUAAAGAGCUCGUAGGCGGUCUGUCGCGUCUGCUGUGAAAACUCAGGGCUUAACCCUGAGCUUGCAGUGGGUACGGGCAGACUAGAGUGCGGUAGGGGAGACUGGAAUUCCUGGUGUAGCGGUGGAAUGCGCAGAUAUCAGGAGGAACACCGGUGGCGAAGGCGGGUCUCUGGGCAGUAACUGACGCUGAGGAGCGAAAGCGUGGGGAGCGAACAGG
This 253-nucleotide ribosomal RNA is filed under the name uncultured bacterium. RNAcentral's name for it is "partial 16S ribosomal RNA". It matches the Rfam family "Bacterial small subunit ribosomal RNA", at positions 524 to 776 of the family's 1533-position model. The record is from RNAcentral.